AUUGAACGCUGGCGGCAGGCCUAACACAUGCAAGUCGAACGGUAACAGGAAACAGCUUGCUGUUUCGCUGACGAGUGGCGGACGGGUGAGUAAUGUCUGGGAAACUGCCUGAUGGAGGGGGAUAACUACUGGAAACGGUAGCUAAUACCGCAUAACGUCGCAAGACCAAAGAGGGGGACCUUCGGGCCUCUUGCCAUCGGAUGUGCCCAGAUGGGAUUAGCUUGUUGGUGGGGUAACGGCUCACCAAGGCGACGAUCCCUAGCUGGUCUGAGAGGAUGACCAGCCACACUGGAACUGAGACACGGUCCAGACUCCUACGGGAGGCAGCAGUGGGGAAUAUUGCACAAUGGGCGCAAGCCUGAUGCAGCCAUGCCGCGUGUAUGAAGAAGGCCUUCGGGUUGUAAAGUACUUUCAGCGGGGAGGAAGGGAGUAAAGUUAAUACCUUUGCUCAUUGACGUUACCCGCAGAAGAAGCACCGGCUAACUCCGUGCCAGCAGCCGCGGUAGUACGGAGGGUGCAAGCGUUAAUCGGAAUUACUGGGCGUAAAGCGCACGCAGGCGGUUUGUUAAGUCAGAUGUGAAAUCCCCGGGCUCAACCUGGGAACUGCAUCUGAUACUGGCAAGCUUGAGUCUCGUAGAGGGGGGUAGAAUUCCAGGUGUAGCGGUGAAAUGCGUAGAGAUCUGGAGGAAUACCGGUGGCGAAGGCGGCCCCCUGGACGAAGACUGACGCUCAGGUGCGAAAGCGUGGGGAGCAAACAGGAUUAGAUACCCUGGUAGUCCACGCCGUAAACGAUGUCGACUUGGAGGUUGUGCCCUUGAGGCGUGGCUUCCGGAGCUAACGCGUUAAGUCGACCGCCUGGGGAGUACGGCCGCAAGGUUAAAACUCAAAUGAAUUGACGGGGGCCCGCACAAGCGGUGGAGCAUGUGGUUUAAUUCGAUGCAACGCGAAGAACCUUACCUGGUCUUGACAUCCACGGAAGUUUUCAGAGAUGAGAAUGUGCCUUCGGGAACCGUGAGACAGGUGCUGCAUGGCUGUCGUCAGCUCGUGUUGUGAAAUGUUGGGUUAAGUCCCGCAACGAGCGCAACCCUUAUCCUUUGUUGCCAGCGGUCCGGCCGGGAACUCAAAGGAGACUGCCAGUGAUAAACUGGAGGAAGGUGGGGAUGACGUCAAGUCAUCAUGGCCCUUACGACCAGGGCUACACACGUGCUACAAUGGCGCAUACAAAGAGAAGCGACCUCGCGAGAGCAAGCGGACCUCAUAAAGUGCGUCGUAGUCCGGAUUGGAGUCUGCAACUCGACUCCAUGAAGUCGGAAUCGCUAGUAAUCGUGGAUCAGAAUGCCACGGUGAAUACGUUCCCGGGCCU
RNAcentral lists this ribosomal RNA (1363 nucleotides) under uncultured bacterium. Its description in RNAcentral is "bacterial SSU rRNA". It matches the Rfam family "Bacterial small subunit ribosomal RNA", at positions 28 to 1381 of the family's 1533-position model. The record is from RNAcentral.